GUGCUCACUUUGGCAGCACAUAUACUAAAAUUGGGAACUAUCAGAAAAGAUUAGCAUGGCCCCUACAAUGAUAUGCAAAUUCACGAAGCAUUCCACAUUUUU
RNAcentral lists this small nuclear RNA (102 nucleotides) under Notamacropus eugenii (tammar wallaby). The record is from RNAcentral. Lineage: Eukaryota; Metazoa; Chordata; Mammalia; Diprotodontia; Macropodidae.